UUCCUUUAUUUUGACAGCAUGUGAAGUCGCUGGUUCACUGCCUCUCUUGACUCGAGCUGCGUAAUUGAACAGAAAAGUCAACCAUGAGCUACAAUGAAGGACAUUGUGUCAGGUCCAGGCGGUCCACCCUGCCUCCGUACUCCAACAGGACCCUGCACCACCCCUCUUUCCUGCCUCUGUACAUGGCUGCAGGCUUUCCACACCAUCACACGGACUUUAACAGCCAAACUGUCCCCCCCAUCAUCCCAACAGAGUUUUUCUACACUGACCCCACCAUGGUCUGUGGGAGGAGGGUCCCCAAC
This is a non-coding RNA of Plectropomus leopardus (leopard coralgrouper), 302 nucleotides long. Lineage: Eukaryota; Metazoa; Chordata; Actinopteri; Perciformes; Serranidae. The record is from RefSeq and is a predicted model, not a curated record.